UACAGGGGGUGCAAACGUUGCUCGGAAUUAUUGGGCGUAAAGCGCGCGUAGGCGGCUACUUAAGUCGGAUGUGAAAGCCCUUGGCUCAACUGAGGAAGUGCACCCGAAACUGAGUGGCUAGAGUACGAAAGAGGGUCGCGGAAUUCCCGGUGUAGAGGUGAAAUUCGUAGAUAUCGGGAGGAACACCGGUGGCGAAGGCGGCGACCUGGGUCGAUACUGACGCUGAGGUGCGAAAGCGUGGGGAGCAAACAGG
This 253-nucleotide ribosomal RNA is filed under the name uncultured bacterium. RNAcentral's name for it is "partial 16S ribosomal RNA". It matches the Rfam family "Bacterial small subunit ribosomal RNA", at positions 524 to 776 of the family's 1533-position model. The record is from RNAcentral.